This 403-nucleotide ribosomal RNA is filed under the name uncultured Thermodesulfovibrio sp. Its description in RNAcentral is "bacterial SSU rRNA". It matches the Rfam family "Bacterial small subunit ribosomal RNA", at positions 355 to 774 of the family's 1533-position model. Lineage: Bacteria; Pseudomonadati; Nitrospirota; Thermodesulfovibrionia; Thermodesulfovibrionales; Thermodesulfovibrionaceae. The record is from RNAcentral.
UGGGGAAUAUUGGGCAAUGGGCGAAAGCCUGACCCAGCGACGCCGCGUGGGGGAAGAAGGCCUUCGGGUUGUAAACCCCUUUUGCAGGGGACGACACAGGACGGUACCCUGCGAAUAAGCCACGGCUAACUCUGUGCCAGCAGCCGCGGUAAGACAGAGGUGGCAAGCGUUGCUCGGAUUCACUGGGCUUAAAGGGCGCGUAGGUGGUCUUGUAAGUCAAAGGUGGAAUUCCACAGCUUAACUGUGGAACUGCCUUUGAUACUGCAAGGCUUGAGUCAGGUAGAGGAGGGCGGAAUUCCCGGUGUAGCGGUGAAAUGCGUAGAUAUCGGGAGGAAGGCCGGUGGCGAAGGCGGCCCUCUGGGCCUGUACUGACACUGAGGCGCGAAAGCGUGGGGAGCAAACA